UUUAUUGUGCCAUUAGGCUUUAGGCUGUAGUAUGUAAUUUUUCGCAGAACUCGAAAAGGAGUGUAGCACUUUUAUUAAUAGUCGAAUUGAUCGCCUUUGAGAAGUGGGAAGAGUCUAGGUUGUGAACUCGCGAAUCAUCUUGCUUUAUUUCAUUUCCGAGUUCGGGACAAGGAGGGUCAUUAGCCAUAGGCGCCUUACCACGAUCGUAGCCCUCCAGCGCGACGCAUCUGUCCCGAGACAGUCUUUCUAGAGCUCUCCUAAACCUUUAAUUGGCUUUCAAAGCAGUUAACAGAAUCCCUCUCCGAAGCUGCGAACGGACCUCCGCUUGUCAGCUCUGCUGUAAUCCUUCUACCCAUCGCUUUCAGCUCACCUUGAAGACCCCUAGCCUCUCUACGGACUUAAUCUACCCAUCUUAUCGGCUCACAACCUAGACGGUUGUCUUCUGUACGGGAGGAAGGCUGUCGCAGGGGAGGAACCAUUUUGAAGGGGAGGGGAGUUCCACUAUCUGAGUUAGGCCGAUAUCAUUAGAUAGGUAGGCUGAUCUCCGCUUCUAUCCUCCCGGGAUCAGAAGCAGGCGAUGGCGCAAGUGGAGUGAAAAGCUUUGAGUGGAAGGAAGGUCCUUGUUCAGCUCCGCCUAUUCAUCUCUUCUUUCAAAUAGUGAAAGCAAAUUACCCUUUUCUAGUUCUCACUCUGUUGUGGGGACCCACCAAGACUGUCUUUCCCUGUCUUUCCUAGUCUAUAGGUCCAAUCUCAUCUGCUAGCGCUUCUUCUGGUCGGGACACAUUCAUAGAUUUCUCAUAAUUGUUCCUGGGCUUGCAAGUGACUUACUGCUUUUGGCCGUUCUUGCUGUCUUAAGUCGUCCUCUUUCUUUAUAAUUAAUUUCUUUCGUGCCUGCCCGGAGGCUAAGGGGAGAACUGCAUGUCCUACUAGUCGGAUAGAAGCCUACCCACCUACCAGCCUACCUUGUUCAUAUCGAGCCGGACAGGAGAGACACUCUUUAAAGUUAAUAGAAGCAAUUCCUUUUAUAGAAAAUAGGUGCGUGAUUCAAAUAGGGGAGUUCCGAACCAGCAGCAAGCCCUUUCUCGCCCUUUCUAAUGUCCUAGGCGAAGGCAGUGCAGGCCCGGAGAGAUCCCAUUUUUUUUUAUCGCUCCACAUAGCUCACGACCCGGCACGAAGAAAGAUCUUAGAUGGGCGGAUGCGAAUCUGGAUCUAUCAACGGAGCAAUGGAAUUCAAGUCGUAGCCGUGUCUGACCCCCGUGAUCUUUCUUUCCUUCUUUUGAAGCUUGUUGCCCUUUAGUGAUAGUGAUAAAGAGCACACCUCUACCUCUAAUCUAUCCCGCUCACGGUUUUCUUCCUGCUCACCAGGAAUGGUAGAGAGAGCUCCUUUCUUAUUCCAUUUCCGGUGAUCACGAACUUGGAAAACGUCCUGCAAUCAAACUAAAGAAGAAUCCACCCAUCUCGACGUUCUUAGGCGGGGACAGGAUUCGAACCGGCUUGUGACACCACCCCAGUAAGAGAUCAACGAAAAGCAUCUUCCGACUAAAAGAAAGUAGUUGAAAACCGAGACCAAAGGAGUGUACUUUACUUAAUUAAGGAAGUGUACUUAACGAGGGGCUGUUGAGUAAGGGGGGGGUCGGUAUUAGAAGUCUUUUUUCUUUCACGGGCACAAAUGAGUAAUGGAAGAUCCAUCUCUAAAAUCGAACUUCUCUAGCGCCUCAAAGAAAAAAAAUGGGCGUAGUAACUCAACCUGGAAGGAAGAUCCAACAGAUAUAAGAAACAGAUAGAACAGGAAGAGUCGGUGGUGCUGCUAACUGAAGUACGUGUGCAUCCCCCUCCGUUCAACCAACGACGUAAUAAUCCUAAUCCGGCAUGUCCGGUCUAUCUCUCUCAUCGAGCUUACGCUUUCGAAGGAGAAAUACAAUAGGUUUCAUGCGGAACGAGAACAUUUUUCUUUGGUUACACUCCUUGAAAUCCAAUCUCCGGUAAAAGGCAUAGACCAGAUCAUCUUUUGAUUCUUUCAUCUUUGCUUUGAGUUCUCAUCCAGCUGUAAAUCCUCUACUUGUUGGCCUUGGGAGAAAGAGACCACUUCGGGAACUCUUCGAGGAGGAUAGCCACUCUCUUUACUUUAGAAUCAUCUUUUUACACGGCUCAGUGCAAAGCAAAGCUCUUUCGUCGAGAUUGGCAUUAGUGAGCACUUAUCUCAGUAUAAGAUCGAAAAGAAUGGAAUGCAUUGGUAUUGCCUGGGGUGAACUGGUUGAAAUGAAAGAUAGCAUCUUACCGAGCUCCUACCCCUAAGGGUAAGGGUGAUCAAUUAUCCCAGAACCUGAUUCCUAUGUGUAAGGAGGAGCGGCUGGGACUCUAUAUAGAAAGAUCAUAAGCAGUUCUUUCUUUUCCCGAAGCUGGCUAGUCUUCUAUUCUUUGCGCUCUCCCCCUUCAAAGUUUCUCAUUCUUUCUUCCCUUUUCGCCCGCUUCGCUGGAAUCUUGUUCUCUCCAUAAGGAGGUUCUAUAGUCACCCGAUCUCUACACGAUGCUGCGGAGCACCUCUUGUAGUCUUUGGCUGACCUGAUUGGUGCUUUCGUAGCGGGGAAUGCACUUCGACUCCCCCUAUCCCAGACAGAAUGAAGCUUUCACACUCCUUCUCUAUAGUUGAUCCAUAGCUUGAACAAGACAGCUGCACCAGGAUAGUCAGAAAGAAGUAAAGCGCAUCCACAACUGCCGCAGAAAGAAGAGGAGCAUCUAUACUAUCUUCCGCAACUUCCGAAAGAGCCACAUCAAGAACAAGAGCGGGUACCGCAUGUGCCGUAAGACAGGCAGGAAUGGGAUAUAUAUUUGAAAGAACAAUAGCAAGGAGAGGACCAAUUCUUCCAGAUGAAAGAUGACUACCAAUGAACCAGGCAGGGACUAAUCAAAAUAAGGAUUCUAUUCCAUUAGCCGAGGAAAGAAGUAGCAAAGGAAUCUCGCUAUCGUGGGAGGAAAUAAAAAAGUAGGAUAGGAAGCUCUAUUUGAUCUAAGGGAUGGCUAAAAGGCCAAAUCCAGCUAAGAACAAAAAGAAGAGAUCAAGGAGAGGGAUAUAGCUCUUUUUACGGGAGCUAGACGAGCACUCGCAAGAGAGCGACCGGCAGAUCUAAAACUGCUCUAGUAAAGUAGAACGAAAGUAGUCUAGGCACACGAGAGAAAGCAAUUCAGGGCAUUUGAAUCGACGAUAGCGAGAUACAUAGCCCGUGAAGUCUCCCUUUGGACUAAGAAAUCGGCACAUAGUAGAAUCGAACUGAUGUAAUGGGCGGAACGCUCCCCUACCGAUGCCUUAGGCCCAAAAAAGCUUUCUUUUUCCUCAGGGGAGACCAGGAGCCAUUGAUUGAAUCCUUCGAGCUAGUCGGCGAAGGGACCAAUGGGUAUGAUAGAAUAGAUAGGAAUGCCAGAGCGUCAAUGAAAUUCAUGUUUUCCGGUUCUCCAUUUAUGAAUAGAAAAGGUCUUGAAGCCCAAAAUAAAGUUUUUUUGGAAAGGAGUAAAGUCAGGCUUUCUUCAACAUCUGUACUUGAUCUAACCCUUUCUUUUGCUUGACUUUAGUUUUCAAUAAGGCGCCCUACCCUAUCGCGAUAGACCACCUUACUCAAAUAGGGGGCAUCUCGGGCAUUGAAAGCAAGGAGACUGGAAAGGGCUGAGGUAAGGGAUCGUGAGCCAUAAGCAGCAAGCACAGUAUUCAAGUAAAGGCCUUACUAAUCUAAUAUAAUAUAUAAUAUAAAGGAGGAGGAUUUGGAUCAAGCUCAUAUUACUAUCACAUUACUAUGUUAGGAGAUAAAAGCCAUUCAAUCCCCGGGAGCUCUUUUUCCCUAAAGCGAACGGUCUACUCAAGCUCAAGAAAGUAGAAGUUGUGCAGCAAGUCGGGACUUCAAUUCCUAUCGUAUCAGUUCGAGACAGUCAAUUGUAUCCCCCUCGACGCGAGGCCAUCCAAAAGAAUGAAGACGAGCUCACCCUGCAAGAAAACGGAUGCAACAAGCAACGAUUGAGCAGGGCGAAUCCCUUACCCGGAGUCAAAAUGCGCUGCGAUCUAGCCUCUCUUGGCGCACCUACCUAAUAGAUAGAGAUAAAGCUGAGGUAAGUAGUUAACUGACUAGUGCUUCCAGUCCAACAAGUCUCCUAUUUCCGAGUGAAUUAGCAAGAGCACGACCCGCGACCUGUUAUUCAGCGACAUAAGACUUUUGUCGCCUAAUCUUCCGUUCCCCUCUACCUAUGAGCUCCCAAGUCGGUCAUUCCAGGAACAGCACGUCGUCGAAGCGGGAGUGGUGAAAUAAAGAAGUCGGAGCUCACUCCUAAGGGUUGGUCGGCUGGCUUGUCAUCCCGUGAAUCGGGCUAGACGAGUGAAUCUAGCCAUAAACACUCUUUUGUUGCUUGCGUAUCGUACCCGAUCCCUCCUUCAAGCAUCUCUAUUCCCCAGACCGCUUGAAAGAGUAGAAGUCGGCCAGUCCGUAGUCAUAGGGCAGCUAAGCUAAGCUUUCAGGCAAGGGAGGUAUAGGAUGAGAUAGAGAAAGUCUUUCCAGUCCUACAGCUUGAGCAGUAAGUAGUCUUUACUAAUUUAUACGCGUCAGCGAUCAAAGGUCAGCAUAGUUGGGCAAGCAUGAGGAGAUCCAGUUUAGUCCGAACAGUACUAUUAUCCCGAGUCAAGUAGUAGCCUCAUGGAGGAAAUGAAUAUUGAGUGGAUGAGAUAAGAUGUUUAUUGAGGAGUAGGCUUAACCCUGCGGAGGAGAAAGACCAGUGAGGAGCACCUUUAGAACCGUUAUAUGCCCGGCAAGUCCCAGGAAAGCCUAAGUUGGGUAGGUCAUUCCGGUAUGGGACAAGCGAAGCGAUCGGCCGGUUGGUGAGUCUGUCCAUUUUGUGGAGUGAGGAAAGUCAGUUGAUUCCGUUCCUGAGGUUCUUUCUUCGCAAGAGUCAAUGCUAAUAACGCAAGAUUGGAUUAAAUACCUGAAUGCCAGGCAAGCUCGUCAAUCCCGAUGCUAGCGAAGCGUCACUUCAACUAGUCCAUUCUCGAGGCAAGCCGGUAAGCCACAUGAGGCGGCGGCACUUCCAUUCUCGGAGGGAGGUCCCGCAUGAGUAGAGGCGCGCAGGCAAGCGAAUAGGAAAGUAGUCUUUAUCCGCGGCAAGCAUAUAAAGUACCGAACAGCCCGAGGAGUAGGCUUCCCGAUGCGGAACUCUAUUCCUUUUGCACUUGAAGUAGAGAAUCCGAAAGAGUGGGGUCAGUCAGAUGAACAUGCUUCUCUUCCCUGCUGUCCCGUGCGGGGGAUUAUCAAACAUCCCUGGUUAGGCCCAGUAGGAAAAAGUUGGCGAUGAUUGAAUGAUCGGGAAAAGAGGCAGGUGGGGAGGUCUCAGCUAGCUGGCCUCCUGGGGGAAUGAAACCAAUCAGUGGUGUGGAUUCUACCCGGGGUUCAACUCAACUAGAUGGGGAUUCAUAUCUUGUUUUGAGGUUGAUAUCGCGGGGAGUCCUAUUUCAUGCCGGGGAAGACGAAGUUACAUAAGUAGUUGAUUCGAAGGCUAGAAUCUCCUGUUUUGAAGCAGUUAACGUUAUGGCGCUCCCGCCCUUGUCCAGUAACCAUUCUGAGGGGGGAGCAAGAAAAUAUCAUCAACUCAUAAGUCCUUAUAGGAGCAUACCAUAUUAUCUUUCUUUGCGAAUAUGUUAAUCUGUGAAGCCAACAAGCCCUCUAUACUUCACAGCAUACAUCAAGGAUGUUCCGGUUCCCAGAGUUCAGAUUGACCAUGGAGCAUCUCUUAAUCUCAUCACUCUUCCUGCUUUAGAGGAACUUGGGAUUUCUCCAAGCUCACACUGGAGUAUCUAUAUUUGGAUAUGACGGAGGGUACCAAAGACCUGUGGGCAAGAUCAGGAUCAGAUUGCAAAUCGGUGAUCUAACUUCGGAAGCGACAUUCUACGCUAUCCGAGGACGAGCAUGCUACAACCUUCUUCUAGGCGGACCACGGAUUCAUGACAAUCAUGUGGUCCCAUCUACUCUUCAUCAGUGCUUCAAGUAUGUGGAUACAGACAAUAAAGUACGUCGCGUGUUCGCAGACAAGAAGCCGGCAGCGAGAUCUACUAUGCAGACUCAAAGCUAUAUGUAGAUGCCGAGACAGAAAAGGAAGAACCUAUCUCUCUCGCCGAGACAGACUCGCCCCCCCUAUCGUCUAAGGCUUUGGCAGCGGGAAGAAAGAAACUCGAAAAAAGCCGGCUCCAGCUACCUUUAGCGGCUGUGGGGAUCGCUACCUGUGAUCUCAGUCGGUUCGGCUGAGCCGUCUCUUCAACUUCUUUAACCGCGGACUCCGGAACACAUUCGGUAGGCUGUGUCCCUUCGACACUCUGUUCAGCAGCCUUUUCUGGAUUACCAGCCGACUCAGAACCAACUUCUGAUCUUUCUAGUUCCUGCCUAACACUAACAGGGGAGGGGACUACCUCUCUUCACCCAUAUCUUAAACCUUCACCAACGAUUUCCAGAUUCGACGAUUGGAGUAUGCAUAUGCGUCAAAACGACCUGGUGUGCUGAGUUUGAAAGCAAUCCCUUAUCUUUCUUUUAUAUUCUUUGACUCCCUCGGUUGCUAUUCGACUGGAAUUCGUGGUAACAUAUACAACUCUUAAGAACAAACUAUAAUUCCUGUUCUUGAUUGAAUGGAGAUGGAAUGGAAACACUAAACAGCUGUUUAAAGGAGGUUUACCCAGCUGUAACCUGCUGAUUUCAUAUGAAUGGACUCAUUUGUGUUGUUGAAUUCUUUAAUCUACUGCUGGAAAACAAAGGGGGGUGCUGUAAUAGAACUAAGUCGUAUCACAUGAAAGUAGGGUUUGCCUGAAAGCCAAGGAAAAUGGCCAUAGGAAGCUCUUUAGCUAUGGUACAGUCCAAAGCGAGUCUAUGAUUGGCUUCAUUCCAUGGUGCCAGGUUUGAGCUACUAACUGAGCUACUCUUUCCAGACAGACAGGGAUUCGUUCAUUCGUUCUGACUGCACGGCAUUCAUUCUUGCUAUUGCCAGGCCGUUGCUCCGCGCUUUACGACUAGUGCCGUUUACCAGCUCGUUACUCCUAAGCCGGUAUCCCCCUCAAGGGAAAGCAAUCCAAUGCUGUGUCAAGUGCGCUACUGCUUUCUUACCUUCCCUUAUACUUAUAUAAGUAGUUAUAGAUGCAGACGAUAUAGCGUCUUAUCGUCUUUAUUCUUGAAUUUAAAUAUGAAUUAGCUGCCUUUCCUACCUUCUUUUUAACUGGAAAAGGGCAUUCAUAUUUGCGUAUGAGCCCUUUGUGAACCUUCCUGAAGGUUUUGAAUUGUUGUGGCUGGAGAUUGACCAUUACUAGGUCUCCUUGUUUGUACUCUACAGGCCGUCUCUUAGUGUCUGCCCAUUUCUUUAUUUUCUUAGCGGCUUUCUCUAGGGCUCUUUGAAAUUCUUGGCGAACUUGUAGGCGGCCGGGCUUCGACCAGUGGGGAUACGAGCUAAAGUGUGAGGCGUAAGGGGUUGCUGUCCCGUGACCAACUCGAAGGGGCUGUGAUGCGGCGCCUCGCUGUGCUGCAAGUUGUAACAGAACUGGGCUACAUCCAACAAAUGUACCUUACGAAGUAUCUUAGGUAUUCUUCCAAUUCUAAUAGGGCGUUACCGUCUGCCCAUCCGUUUGUGGGUGGAAACUGGUGGAGAAGUGGAGUUCCGAACCCAAAAGACUUUUGUCCUGCGAACCGCUCACUGAUGAUGUUCCGUGGAAUCCCCCAGAUGACGUUCUUUAGGAAAUUUCUGCCUCUUCAGCCGUGCAAUCUGUCGGGGCUGCUAUGAACGUGGCGUACUUGGAGAACCUGUCUACUACCACCAUGAUUGACCCAAAUCCAUCCACUUUAGGCAAGGCCGAGAUAAAGUCCAUGGAAAUGCUUUCCCAGGGUCUCCCUGGGAUUGGAUUGGUAGGGGUUCCAACAGGCCUGCUUGUUUCUGGUGGUCUACCUUGUCUUGUUGGCAAACAAGGCAGGUUCUUACGUACUCCUCUACCUCUUCUCUCAUAUGGGGCCAAAAGUCUCCUUCUUCGAGUAGGGCUAAGGUACGCCGCUGCCCUGGGUGUCCUGCCCACUUCGUGUCAUGGCAUUCUUUUAUCAAUUCUUUUCUUAGAUUGCCCCACUUUGGUACAUAAAGUCUUUCUCCCUUAGUGUGGAGUAAUCCGUUGCAAAAUCGGCGCCUUUCCUUCUCGAGCCAUUGUCACGAGCUGGAUUUGAACCAACACCUCUGGGCCAGCGAACUUCCUUUAUUCUAAUCGUGACUGACAUGACACGGUCCCUCCGAAGAGUACGAUGUUUGGCUUGCUGCUCUCCCGGGACACACCACACGAAAGCUUUGAAAAAGCUAUUCCCACUGCUUCGGAACAAAGGUGAUUCUGUUCAUGCUGAAGACGAUCUGUCUAAUUCUAUAUACUUCUAUAUAGACUCAACUUCUAUUAGAAAGGCGAACCUAACCUAUAGGCCUGUUUUAGCGCAAAGAAGGAAAAAGGAAGGUCAGAGGGUGGAGAAUUGCGAGGGGGAGGGCGGCGCCCCUUG
Long non-coding RNA from Populus euphratica (Euphrates poplar), 8531 nucleotides. RefSeq lists it as uncharacterized. NCBI's taxonomy places the organism in Eukaryota, Viridiplantae, Streptophyta, Magnoliopsida, Malpighiales, Salicaceae. The record is from RefSeq and is a predicted model, not a curated record. The transcript is spliced from 2 exons.